Myodes glareolus (Bank vole) is the source of this 821-nucleotide long non-coding RNA. RefSeq lists it as uncharacterized. The record is from RefSeq and is a predicted model, not a curated record. NCBI's taxonomy places the organism in Eukaryota, Metazoa, Chordata, Mammalia, Rodentia, Cricetidae.
CCUCAACUGUCACUUGGCUGGUCAGUUCCUUUCUAGGUCUCCAACAGAGGGCCACACUCCAGGUGAUCCUGCCUGAGCUGAGGUACCACGCUCUCUGUUCAUGAACUCCUGAGGAACUCCUUCUUGGCCCACCACCACCCCUCCCGAGUGUAAUGACGAAGCUAGCACAUACUGGCUCAGGAAAGGUGUGAUGGAUUAAAGGGAAGACCGACCAGCGGCCUUCUGACAGGAAGGGCAGCUCAUCUCUUCUAAUCCCAUGGAAAGGAAGGCAGAACAGAAAGGCUGGCAAGGAACUAAAGACGGCUUACAGACUGCGUGGCAUAUACUCUUUGGCCCAGGACUCCUUUACCAGAGAACCUGGUGAGGUUUUCCCGACCCACAACACAUCUUCCCAUCAUCAAAUGUACAAAGGGGAGAACUCCUGAGUCUGCUGAGGAUAUGUAUCAGAACUCAAACAUCACUUCAAUUUCUUUCACUUCUCACCUUUCCUGACUCUUAGAGAGCAAUGGUGCUCAGUGGUCUCUGGCUUCAAGGAUCCUAAGGGACAAGCUGGCAGCAAGCGCAAGAAGCCUGCUUCUGAGCAGCUAUGCAACCUGGCUGGUCCAACUGGUCCCUCAGUGAUCCCCGUCUCUGCACCUGCUUGCCUCUCCUCUGCCUUUUCUUCAAGAUGUUAAAAACUUGCAAUAAAAAACAAAUACAAAACGCUGUAAUUAAUAGCCAAUUCCAAGCCAACCAAGCAUCUCUACUAAUAAACCUCAACACUUGCAAAAAGAACAAUAAAUUCUGCCCCUCUCUGGUUCUGAGGUGGUCUCUUUUAUAUA